RNAcentral lists this ribosomal RNA (829 nucleotides) under uncultured Rhizopogon. RNAcentral describes it as "eukaryotic LSU rRNA". The stretch from base 615 to 829 matches the Rfam family "Eukaryotic large subunit ribosomal RNA", at positions 1 to 211 of the family's 3401-position model. Lineage: Eukaryota; Fungi; Basidiomycota; Agaricomycetes; Boletales; Rhizopogonaceae. The record is from RNAcentral.
UCGCUGGCCUCGCUCGCGCGAGGCAUGUGCACGCUUCGCGUUUUUCUGAUAACCAACCUGUGAACCUAAUGUAGGAUGCCUCUCCUCCGGGAGGGGGGACCUACGUCUUCUCAACAUCUUCGUGUAGAAAGUCUUUGAAUGUUUACUAUCAUCGAGUCGCGACUUCUAGGAGACGCGAUUCUUUGAGAUAAAAGUUAUUACAACUUUCAGCAACGGAUCUCUUGGCUCUCGCAUCGAUGAAGAACGCAGCGAAAAGCGAUAUGUAAUGUGAAUUGCAGAUCUACAGUGAAUCAUCGAAUCUUUGAACGCACCUUGCGCUCCUCGGUGUUCCGAGGAGCAUGCCUGUUUGAGUGUCAGUAAAUUCUCAACCCCUCUCGAUCUUCUUCGAAGAGGGCGCUUGGAUAGUGGAGGUUGCCGGAGACUCGGAUUCGUUCCGAGACUCGGGCUCUUCUGAAAUGCAUCGGCUUGCGGUCGACUUUCGACCAUGCGCGACAAGGCUUUCGGCGUGAUAAUGAUCGCCGUUCGCCGAAGCGCAUGACAGAAGGUUCCGCGCCUCUAACGCGUCGACCGCUUACUAUCUCUCCGGAGAGAACGGCGUCUUCCUAAUAGACUUUUGACCUCAAAUCAGGUAGGACUACCCGCUGAACUUAAGCAUAUCAAUAAGCGGAGGAAAAGAAACUAACAAGGAUUCCCCUAGUAACUGCGAGUGAAGAGGGAAAAGCUCAAAUUUUGAAUCUGGCGGUCUUUCGGCCGUCCGAGUUGUAAUCUAGAGAAGCGUUUUCCGCGCUGGANCGUGUAUAAGUUUCCUGGGAANNGAACGUCAUAGAGG